Molecule: transfer RNA, 76 nt
Filed under: Candidatus Thorarchaeota archaeon
Lineage: Archaea; Promethearchaeati; Candidatus Thorarchaeota
Description: tRNA-Thr
Rfam family: tRNA
About the family: Transfer RNA (tRNA) molecules are approximately 80 nucleotides in length. Their secondary structure includes four short double-helical elements and three loops (D, anti-codon, and T loops). Further hydrogen bonds mediate the characteristic L-shaped molecular structure. tRNAs have two regions of fundamental functional importance: the anti-codon, which is responsible for specific mRNA codon recognition, and the 3' end, to which the tRNAs corresponding amino acid is attached (by aminoacyl-tRNA synthetases). tRNAs cope with the degeneracy of the genetic code in two manners: having more than one tRNA (with a specific anti-codon) for a particular amino acid; and 'wobble' base-pairing, i.e. permitting non-standard base-pairing at the 3rd anti-codon position.
Source: RNAcentral
GCCCCAGUAGCUUAGCCCGGUCAGAUCGCCUCCUUGGUAAAUAGGAGCGCGAAUUCAAAUCUCGCCUGGGGCUCCA